Molecule: ribosomal RNA, 771 nt
Filed under: uncultured bacterium
Lineage: Bacteria
Description: bacterial SSU rRNA
Rfam family: Bacterial small subunit ribosomal RNA
Source: RNAcentral
GGUUUGUCGCGUUGUUCGUGAAAUCUCACGGCUUAACUGUGAGCGUGCGGGCGAUACGGGCAGACUUGAGUACUGCAGGGGAGACUGGAAUUCCUGGUGUAGCGGUGGAAUGCGCAGAUAUCAGGAGGAACACCGGUGGCGAAGGCGGGUCUCUGGGCAGUAACUGACGCUGAGGAGCGAAAGCGUGGGGAGCGAACAGGAUUAGAUACCCUGGUAGUCCACGCCGUAAACGGUGGAUACUAGGUGUGGGUUUCCUUCCUUGGGAUCCGUGCCGUAGCUAACGCAUUAAGUACCCCGCCUGGGGAGUACGGCCGCAAGGCUAAAACUCAAAGAAAUUGACGGGGGCCCGCACAAGCGGCGGAGCAUGUGGAUUAAUUCGAUGCAACGCGAAGAACCUUACCUGGGUUUGACAUGCACAGGACGCCGGCAGAGAUGUCGGUUCCCUUGUGGCCUGUGUGCAGGUGGUGCAUGGCUGUCGUCAGCUCGUGUCGUGAGAUGUUGGGUUAAGUCCCGCAACGAGCGCAACCCUUGUCUCAUGUUGCCAGCGGGUAAUGCCGGGGACUCGUGAGAGACUGCCGGGGUCAACUCGGAGGAAGGUGGGGAUGACGUCAAGUCAUCAUGCCCCUUAUGUCCAGGGCUUCACACAUGCUACAAUGGCCGGUACAAAGGGCUGCGAUGCCGCGAGGUUAAGCGAAUCCUUUUAAAGCCGGUCUCAGUUCGGAUCGGGGUCUGCAACUCGACCCCGUGAAGUCGGAGUCGCUAGUAAUCGCA